RNAcentral lists this ribosomal RNA (407 nucleotides) under uncultured bacterium. RNAcentral's name for it is "partial 16S ribosomal RNA". It matches the Rfam family "Bacterial small subunit ribosomal RNA", at positions 28 to 526 of the family's 1533-position model. The record is from RNAcentral.
GACGAACGCUGGCGGCGUGCCUAAUACAUGCAAGUAGAACGCAGUCGCGAACGGGUGAGUAACGCGAAGGUAACUGCCUCAUAGCGGGGGAUAACUAUUGGCAACGAUAGCUAAUACCGCAUAACGUGCGAUGGACCUGCGUUGUAUUAGCUAGUUGGUGAGGUAAAGGCUCACCAGGGCGACGAUACAUAGCCGACCUGAGAGGGUGAUCGGCCACACUGGGACUGAGACACGGCCCAGACGCACACGGGAGGCAGCCGAAGGGAAUCUUCGGGAAUGGACGGAAGUCUGACCGAGAAACGCCGCGUGAGUGAGGAAGGUUUUCGGGUCGUAAAGCUCUGUUGUUAGAGUGGCGGUAACGAACCAGAAAGGGACGGCUAACUACGUGCCAGCAGCCGCGGUAAUAC